RNAcentral lists this long non-coding RNA (226 nucleotides) under Mytilus galloprovincialis (Mediterranean mussel). The record is from RNAcentral. Lineage: Eukaryota; Metazoa; Mollusca; Bivalvia; Mytilida; Mytilidae.
UAGUAACACCACCACCAUUUUGGACUGUUUGUUUAUCAUGGUUUCGCUUAUGACGUUGGAAGUUGUCUUUUCUUGAAAAUACCAUAUUGCAGGUGGCGCAAUGCCAUUUCGUUCCAGUAUGAUCCGAUCUCUUAUGGCGCAUCAAACUCUCUUUAUUGGGAAAACGAUUUUCCGCAUACACCACAUUUAAUUGGAGAUUUUGCCAUCUUUAUUUUUUUCGAUGCUG